CUACGGGCGGCUGCAGUGGGGAAUAUUGGACAAUGGGGGAAACCCUGAUCCAGCAAUGCCGCGUGUGUGAAGAAGGCCUGCGGGUUGUAAAGCACUUUCGGUUGGGAGGACUGCUUCUAGCACUAAUAUUGUUGGAAGUUGACGUUACCUUCAGAAGAAGCACCGGCUAGCUCCGUGCCAGCAGCCGCGGUAAUACGAAGGGUGCAAGCGUUAAUCGGAAUUACUGGGCGUAAAGCGCGCGUAGGCGGCUAGAUCAGUCGGGUGUGAAAGCCCCGGGCGUAACCUGGGAACUGCAUCCGAUACUGUCUAGCUUGAGUACAGGAGAGGAGAGUGGAAUUCCACAUGUAGCGGUGAAAUGCGUAGAUAUGUGGAGGAACACCAAUGGCGAAGGCAGCUCUCUGGCCUGAUACUGACGCUGAGGUGCGAAAGCGUGGGGAGCAAACAGGAUUAGAUACCCCUGUAGUC
This 465-nucleotide ribosomal RNA is filed under the name uncultured bacterium. Its description in RNAcentral is "partial 16S ribosomal RNA". It matches the Rfam family "Bacterial small subunit ribosomal RNA", at positions 339 to 795 of the family's 1533-position model. The record is from RNAcentral.